ACACACUUUCUCCAACAAGGCCACACCUUCUAAUCCUGCCGCUCCCUGGGCCAAGCAUAUGCAAACCAUCACAGGGGGUAACUAGUAUCCUGAAGAAAUAACACUCACACCCUUAGGAAGAUUAUCCAAGCCAUUUGAACUCAUAAUAGAGAAGCACAGCUUGAUUCUGCGUGCAAAAAUCUACAAGUCACCUGGUUUGGAGCCACCAUGAGUGAUUUGCCUUUGUUUUUACACUUGAUCUUAGCCAAAGGGCCGAGAAGCAAUUGCCUUUGUUUUUAAAGAAAAGAUUCCAAACAAGGAAUGCAUAGGAUUCUGAUAGUUUAUAUCAUCCCUCAAACCUUCACUGCCUCUCCUCCAUCUCAGAAAACCGGAGUCAGUAAAUGGAUGUAUGAUGUCCAUGGUUUAGUUAAAACGAAGCUCCAAAUCUGUCCAGGUCUCUGCUGUAGCAAAGCUGCUGACAUAGUUGUCACGUACCUUCUAAGAGAUGCCCCGAGGCAUCGCAUGGACCUAAGGCAUCGGAGCCACAGGGCCUGUGUUUGCAUUUUAUACUUAACUGAGCCUUGUAAGUAAAGUGGUUCAACUUAGGAAGGUUUUCUAAGCUAGUGGGUAGAGCAGAAGAGAUUUCUUGUAAUAGUUAAUAACCAGGAAGCUCAGGCUUUCUGAUUAAUUGUGGCUUUCCUCCGUCUUGGUAUUUGAUAGCUUUCCUACAGUUUGGUUCAAAAGCUACCUCGAUAUCAUUAAGUUAUGUUGCAGUGUUCAGUAUUUGAGUCUGUUCAGCAGGGACACUUGAAAAAUCACCAGCUAUUUUUAAAAGCUUGUUUGUUUUCACCAGCUGUUUUGGGUUAAGAGGGUGUUUACAUCUUGAUGUACAGAAUGAAACAGCUAUAAGUAAUUUUUCCUGUAUACACUGCCAUCUUUCAUUACUUGGAAUGUCAUCCCCGAGAAGGUACAUGACAGCCAUGAUGUUAUGGUCCUAGAGAAUCUGUUCAGUGUCCUUGUGAGGUGUGUGUGGCUGUGUUCAUCCUGUGUGGAUGCAAUGGAGUAGCCUCGACUUACGUGUCCCAUAGCUAAGCACAUGUGUUCUAAUCAUGCCUCGGGCUCUUUGACUCUAUUUGUGCAACAGUCUUUCCCAGUGUGUGUUAAUGGAUGUUUAUCUUAAUUAAGCCAGCUCUGAAAUGCUGCCUGUUGGCUGUGCCAAGAACAGACAAUGUCAUAAUCUAAAAGUAUUUGCUUACUUUAUUGGUCUGGGUUUGAAACAUUCAUACUGAGUCUUUCCCUGAAAGAACAACAUGCCAAGAAAAGCAUUAACAAAAUCUGUUAACAAAAUCUGAACAGAAAGGGAGACAGACCAGAGUAGUGAAGUACAAAGAAGGGCUCGGAGGGUGUGACUCGGUGUCCAGAAGCUAGGGUCAGAAGGGAGCAAGUUAGACAGGGUCCUGUCAAAGAUAAAACAAAUUCCAGAUAAGACCUCUUGUUCUGAUGAAUUUGGUAAAAAUGUUCUUACUUGGGGUCCUGGGGGCGCUAAAAUGAGCAGAACUCCUAAACAGACACUGUAUUUGCACAUUGUGUGGAUUAUCUAUUUGUUGCAGGUUUCCAUUUCUCUCUCUCUCUCCCUCUCCCUCCCUCCCCCCCCCCUCUCUCUCUGUCGUGUGUGUGUGUGUGUGUGUGUGUGUGUGUGUGUGUGUGUGUGUGUGUGUGCGCGCGCGCGUAUGCAUGAUCAUGUGUGGGGAUUUUAUUUUGCUCCUAUAAUUAAGAAUUCUUGCCCUGAGCUAAGAACACAUACCUGUUAAAGCUUGAAAAUCCGUUUGAGACAAGUGAAUUAUGGAGAACUUUUACCCAGUUGUAAUUUAGAAAACAGAUGUUCUAUUCCAGGUUUACUACAAUUAUUUUUGCAAUGUAGGUUGUUUUGCACACCUGACUCAAGCCUGGAAGAGUACAUUUUGGUUAGGUCAUGUCAGGAAUGUCUCUCAGCUGUGGCUUUGCCAGGCUCUACAGAGGCCCCUCUGGUGCAGACCCAGGGUGACUUCUCUGUGCUCUUGUAGUGUGCUGAGGCCCAGAUGGAUACUUACUUGGCUUAACCUAAGGACACACUCUGAACUGCUGGAUUUCCAGGGGAGCAUGUGGAGUAUGUGCUUGUCACUCGCUAUUCAACAAACUGAAGUCACUUUGUUAGAGCUGCCAUGAAGUUAAAGAAUAAAUAAAUAAUUUCAAAAGCAUCCACCAUGUGACCAAAGUGAACACUUCGGCUCACCACAGACCACAGGUCACUCCUGAGUGCUGCACUCUACGUCAUGGUCAGGGUCUCUUAGUCUUUUUCUCCACUGCUCGAGGAAGUGGAACCAUAAACACUGGUGAGUAGAACCUGUUCUGUUGUUCAAGUUGGAUUUAAUAAUUUAAUAAUAUCCUCACUGAAGAUCAGCAAGAGAAUCCCCUGCAACCCUAAGGGUUCUGAAUGGGUUAGUGAGGACCAAGCAGGCAGGAGUGCGGCAAAAAUAUGUAAGUGCCACUUGCGAGAGGCGUUUGAUCAUGUUCAUCCUGCUCUGGGGCUGCUGGCUGAUAGCAGCCCCUGCUGCUGACUCUUAAGUCAUGUCCAGGAACCUCUAGGCAGGUGAAAUUCAGUAAGUGUUGGCCCCUGUGUGCUUGGAAGCCAUAUGCAUCCUGUUUAUAAUAGUGGCUGUGAUUGACACAUUGGUACCUGGUGUCCUGUGCUUUGGCAAUGCUGGUGUGUAAACAGUUACCUCUGCACACCUGAGAGACUCUAAGAGACUACAGAGAGGAGUUCCUGGAUCAGUACUGUAGCAUCACAAAUCCUUCCUAGCAUUGCCUUGGCAACAAACAGUAUUUUCAGCCCAGCCUCACCCCUGGUUCACAUUUGCCCUUUUCUACUGUAUUCCAUGGCACAGCAAUGCAGGCGUCACCCAAGUUCACGGGACUCAGUCAGGGACCAUCUGAGAUCAGGAGACAGGAAUUGUGCCUUCCAUACCCAUGAGGGUCCUCCGACUUCCCCAGCUCUGUCUUGGCCAUCUGACUGUUUUAUGCCAGCGCUCUGUGUCAAGGCUAGGUUACAAACAACCUUGCCUAACGGUGAACAAACAAUAUGUUGCCUUUGUACAUUGCGCUCCAGUAAUGCUUAUCUGUGCCUUUAGUAUUUCUGUGUGGUGUACCUUAAGGCAGCCUGGGAGCAGGAAACACCACCUCAUUUCAUUUGAGAGAACAAAACGUGGGUCAAUAAUGACUUUGGAUGGUACCAUGCCAAUUGGCAGUGGUAUUGAGUUGCCACUUGGGUUUGGGUUUUUAUUUAGAAGUUGGUGCACAUCUGUCUAUGCUGUCUUGUGUCUCAGAAGGGAAAUUCUUGGCAUAUAUAAUAGCAGUAGAGAGAGUAUAGAGCAGACAUAGAAGGAAAAUAGAAUUGUGUGUUCUACAACAUGUCUCUGGGUAUAGCCAUGUUGUCUUCACAGCAAUCUCGAAGGCAUUCUUUCCUACAGAUGAGCUGUCCAAGCCCUAAAGAUGUCACACGGCUUCACCCACAGCCAGUGUGGUCCUUGGUUGGCACCAGGAUUGUAACCCGGAUUGAUCUCACUAAGAACUCAUGCUCUUAGCUACUAGAUAGUCUUAAACCACAUCACAUAGGAGCCUGUAUAACCACAUGUGUAUGCAGGUAUACACUUUUUACAUGCUAAACAGUCAAUGCCAACUUCUGUGGUAAGACAUCCUGAAAGGAAUAAAAUAGUUGGCUAAAAUCCCUGAACUUCUAACCAUAACAGGACAGAUGCUCAAGGGUAUGGGAUUAGAGCACCUAGGUCAAGGCAUCCAGACAUUUUAGUGUUUGUGUUAUUGGUGAGUCACAUGUUACAGGCCCUUGCUUUCCUAAGAUGCUGCCAGAAUACUCUGGUUCUUUGGCUUGGAGUAAUUUUGUGACAAUUCUGCUGAGAGUCUCUAUGUGUGAAAACAGGAAACAGGGAAUAGCUUUCUACCACUGCGACUGCUUGGAUUUAGACUCCCUGGUUCUCUCCUACUUGUGCUGUGAUCUUACAGGUUUCUGAAACCUUUCUGCCUUAGUUUUCUCCUGUGCACACUGAGUAUGGUUGUGAUUGUAAAGUGAAUGGAUAUAGGGAAAGCCCUGGGACCAGCACCAGGCAGAAAGCCAUGGCCACCAUGCUCAUGAAUGUGAUAAAUCUUUGCACAAAGCUCUUUAGAAGCCUUCCCUAGGGGAGGAUUCUGUUGCAAUGUCUAGCAUGCGGUGGUGCCCUAGCCAGACACAUGUGUGGACUUACGGACAGAGCAUACAUCCAAAGAGGGAAAGGAAUUGAGUGACCCAUGCCUGCUGUAUGUCGGGUGCUCUGUUGAGGAAAUAUUUCAUUACACACUUUAAUAACCUGAAGAAGGGAUGUAGUGUUACCGUGAGAGGUAAGCGAUGCCUUUCAGUCUCCCUCCCAGUCUCAAGGCACAGGUAUGCUGGGGAUCCCUGUCCUAUCCAGUAUGGCACAAGAAUCCAGGCAUCAACAGACUUUGCUUUGAAUAUAGCUGUCUGUGUACCUGACAGUCCCGGAUGCUACCUUCCCUGGUGCCUCUGUGAGUCCCUAUUGAUAGGAAGGUGAGAGGGAGGAAGUGAGCAGCCAGCAGCCUGCAGCCUACAGUUCUGUCAACCGAAAGGCAUUCUUGAAAAGUACAAAUAUAGCACGGCUAUAAAAAGAUUAAGGUGCACUGCUCUGAAAACUGAGAACCAGUAGGGAGUGCCAUGGUGGCCAACUGACAAAGUGGAGAAGCAAAUUUUGCAAAACUGGAAAACCAGGGAAAGUCAGGCUAAGUGGAGACGCUGACAAAUCAGACUACAGCUAGCCAGGCCUGAACUAGAGGCUGGCAAGCAGAAAACGGUAAGCGGUGAGGCUCCCUGAGGGAUUCCAGUGAGUUCUCUUUCUUUGGAAGCAUGACAGGGGUCCUGGGGACCAGUGAACUGUCACCAUGGGCUGGGGUGUUUCUGCCCUGCUCACUAGCACUGCAGAACUGAGGUGGAGUGCAGGGAGGCUCCCUCCUUGGCCUGUGGGCUUCCUUUUUAACCUCUACUGUCCUCCUCUCUCCCUUUUCUCCACCACUGUGUGACCUCCCCACCUAGGCCUCCCCAGCCUGUGGUUCAGAGCUUCAAGGCAGAUCUCCCAGUAAGCUGUCCUGCACCGCUGCUACUGAGGACAAAGCAAGCAAAGGUCUUUUCUGACUUUGGUUUAGAGAAAUUAGGUAAAGAGCUGCACAGAGAGAAUGCCAGAGGGGAAACUUGGAGGCCUGCCAGGCUGCAAUCCUCACGGAACUGUGUUCUUGUAUGGGCUAGAGGCCCUGCAGGUGAGAAGGACAGUUAGGCAAGAUAGCAAAAAGAGCCAUGUAUGUGUGUCCUGACCCCCAACCCAAAGCAGAAGCAGAACCCUGAGGGCUUUUAGAAAUCUAAAAGGAUUUCCUUCAACUUUUAAAAAAAUUACACAUUCUAUAUUGUGCACGUCUGUGCCACAGUGUAUGUAUGGAGUCAGAGAGCACUGGGAAUCAGCUCUACAUCCCACCAUGUGGUUCCAGUGACGGCGCCGUUCUGCUGAGCCAUGGCAACAACUUGCUCACUCACUGUUGCAUCAAGGAGUGACAAGCCUGUUCCCAUAGACCUUGGCUAUGGCAGGACAUUCUGGGUAAAUGGUAAGCUGCUUGUAAACAUCCUAGCAGUCUCGGGUGUACUAAUGUUCCCCUGACCUGCCACCAGCACGGAAGAGAAAAACUUCUCCAAGCAUUCAUGCAUUCAUUCUUUUUAAUGUGACAUUUUGCUUUAGGAGGUGACACAAAACCAUGGUUUUCUGGAGUCGUUUGUUGUCGCUGCUACCAUCCUCUGGCUCAGGAGCAGCUAGGCUUCUUGGCACCACUGCUCAGCAUUCCAUCUCCAGUGUCCAAGCGCUUUCCACCCAGACUGACCACAUCGCCAACCAUGCUGAGCUCAGAUUGCUUCUAUUCCAGAGGCCAUGCCACCAAGACUGCUCAGCUGCCUGCUGGUAGAGUCUGUCAUUCCAUCCAGGGUGUUCCAGUCCAGUUGUUGAGACAGGCGUCCAGGAGAAUACCAAGGACUCUAGCAGGCUGCCUGAACCGAUCCUCACUGAUGAUCUAGACAGAAGGAGUUCAGACCGAAGUCACCACCCAACCAGGUCACUGAAGUUCACAGGAGGAAGCCCUGAAGUCUGGUUUUUCAAGUCCCCUCCUCACACAGCUGGGGCGACAGUUUACACUGAGGUGCCCAAGACUCCACCACACCACUCCAUUAGACCUGGCCUAUGGCCUACAGACUUAUCCCUCCACCAAGAGCCCUGGAGGACAAGAGUGGGGACAAGAGAGGAAAAGAUGGCUGGCCAGAGGGAGGGAAGGAAGGAGGCAGAAGGACCAAGGUGAAGAUUCCUGUCUACCAAACUUCUGAUCAACAACCUGAAACGGUACGUUCUAGACUUGAAGAGUUGAGCUUUCUCAACACAAGAGAAGAGGAACUGAAUUCACCUCCCAACAGCCUCAGCAGCAGCUCACAGGUAACUUUAGCUCCAGGGAAUCUAGUGCCUGCUUCUGGCCUCUGAAGGCAGCCACAUUCACAUGCAUGGGGGCAGACACCACAUGUAUGUCAACCUAAAAGCCAAGCCUCCCCACCCCCAAGAAUAAAGUCUCUUUGAAAUUUAGAAAAAAUAACCUUUAAGAGUAUUCUAGCUGUGGUGUGCUUUAAAAAAUUAUUGUGGCUUUUUUUUUUAAAUCACUACAUAGCUCAGACUAGUCUUGAAUUCUAUCCUCCUGCUGCAGUCUUCCAAGUGCUGGGAUGACAGACUUGUGCCAGAAUACUCUCUAUUGUAAUUUUUUUAUUGUUGUAGCAAAAAUACGACACAUUUUGCCAUCUUAAUGUGGCAUUUGUUACAGGCACAGCAUUGGAUGAGCAUCACUGCUACCAUUUCCAAAACUCUUUCAUUGCUCUGAAUGGAAACACAUAGACCAGAAACUCCCAUCCUGCCACCUUUAAUCUACUUUUUGUCUUACAAGUUUGUCAAUCACAGAUAAUUCCAUAUUUGAAAUAAUAUACUAUAUGAAGGGGGCCGCCUGGCUUCUUUCACUCAGCACUGUCUCCAAGGCUCAGUCACGAUGUAGCAUGUGACAGGACAUGGCUCUUCCAUGCACUCAAACACUAGUUUAUCAUGGUUACCUGCCAUGUUUAUGACUUGUCGUCUGAAGAUGGGCAUCGAGUUGCCUCAUUAUUAUAUGCAGGGUUGAAGACAGUAAACUGUCUGCGAGGCUUUGACAGCAACACAGCCAAACCAGAACUACUGACCAGAGGACCAUCAGGGUCACAGCCUUGAAGGAGAGACAACACCCACCCUUCAACAUAGCAAAGCACCCAACCAUCUUCUCGGGAAGACAGAACCACCUUUAACCCACACACACAACUCCUAAGGUCCCUACCAGAUGCUCCACCAAGGCUUUUGUCUGUGAGGCAACUAAGCAAAUAGAUUAGUGAAGGGCCCUGUUUGGAGAGUGGAGAGUCCUUGACUGUUCACUGAUGGAGACAAUGGAAGGAGACAAUAGGAAGGAAAGGGGACAGAAGCCCUGGGUCAACUACUCCUUAGAAAUACAGCCUGGACAGGAAACUUGGUAUGCCCAAGAGAAAACCAAGAUAAAAGAGAACAGGAAGCCAAGCUCUUGGGCGUCAGCCUCGUGGCCAUUCUAAAACUCUGCGCCUCAAUGGAGCCAUAUCCCUUAUCUGCAUACUCUAGACUCAUCUCUAAUCUCAGAGAAUGUCUCUUCUCCACGUGCACUCUCUACCGAAUGCUCACUGACCGAUCCUCUGUUUCAGGCUCUGGCUAGCAGCCCUCUUAUCACACCUGACACUGAAGCAGCAAUGACAAUCUUGUCACAAAGACUAACAAGGGCUUAAUGAGGCAGCCAAUAGGAACAGCCUGGACUCCAGUUGGGCGUGAAGUCAGUUCCAGUUGUGGACCAGCACUGCGUACUCCUGUGUCCAUCACCUGAGCGAACUGUGAUGCUCAGGUCUUGGCAAUGUCCCCUGCCACUGGGAGGAAGCCCUCUGGGCGGCAUGUCAGGGAG
Molecule: small RNA, 8097 nt
Filed under: Rattus norvegicus (Norway rat)
Lineage: Eukaryota; Metazoa; Chordata; Mammalia; Rodentia; Muridae
Description: uncharacterized LOC102551038
Source: RNAcentral